RNAcentral lists this ribosomal RNA (253 nucleotides) under uncultured bacterium. RNAcentral describes it as "partial 16S ribosomal RNA". It matches the Rfam family "Bacterial small subunit ribosomal RNA", at positions 524 to 776 of the family's 1533-position model. The record is from RNAcentral.
UACGUAGGGGGCGAGCGUUGUCCGGAAUCAUUGGGCGUAAAGAGCGUGUAGGCGGCCCGAUAAGUCCGCUGUGAAAGUCCAGGGCUCAACCCUGGGAUGCCGGUGGAUACUGUCGGGCUCGAGUCCGGAAGAGGAGUGUGGAAUUCCUGGUGUAGCGGUGAAAUGCGCAGAUAUCAGGAGGAACACCAAUGGCGAAGGCAGCACUCUGGGACGUGACUGACGCUGAGAAGCGAAAGCAUGGGGAGCGAACAGG